This 215-nucleotide unclassified non-coding RNA is filed under the name Hevea brasiliensis (rubber tree). Lineage: Eukaryota; Viridiplantae; Streptophyta; Magnoliopsida; Malpighiales; Euphorbiaceae. The record is from RNAcentral.
UAGUCCAUUGGUUGAAGCUCCUCCUUAGGGAUUUGAAAUUCAUACUUUCCUGGCUUAGAACUGAUAGGCUCGUGAAUGAGAUAGAGAUCCAGAUACUCCAAUUGAAGUUUCCUGAGAGAAUUGUUUAGAGCAGGGACAACAAGAUCACUAUGCGCAUCGGUGGGCCAGAGCUUUGAAGUGAUGAAGAGUUCCUGUCGAGAACCUAUGAGGCCAAG